RNAcentral lists this ribosomal RNA (399 nucleotides) under uncultured Rothia sp. RNAcentral's name for it is "bacterial SSU rRNA". It matches the Rfam family "Bacterial small subunit ribosomal RNA", at positions 958 to 1357 of the family's 1533-position model. The record is from RNAcentral. Lineage: Bacteria; Bacillati; Actinomycetota; Actinomycetes; Micrococcales; Micrococcaceae.
AACGCGAAGAACCUUACCAAGGCUUGACAUAUACUGGACCGCAUCAGAGAUGGUGUUUCCCUUCGGGGCUGGUAUACAGGUGGUGCAUGGUUGUCGUCAGCUCGUGUCGUGAAAUGUUGGGUUAAGUCCCGCAACGAGCGCAACCCUCGUUCUAUGUUGCCAGCACGUUAUGGUGGGGACUCAUAGGAGACUGCCGGGGUCAACUCGGAGGAAGGUGGGGAUGACGUCAAAUCAUCAUGCCCCUUAUGUCCAGGGCUUCACGCAUGCUACAAUGGCCGGUACAAAGGGCUGCGAUCCUGUGAGGGUGAGCGAAUCCCAAAAAGCCGGUCUCAGUUCGGAUUGGGGUCUGCAACUCGACCCCAUGAAGUCGGAGUCGCUAGUAAUCGCAGAUCAGCACGC